GGGCCCGCACAAGCGGUGGAGCAUGUGGUUUAAUUCGAUGCAACGCGAAAAACCUUACCUACUCUUGACAUCCUUGGAAUGCCUUAGAAAUAAGGCAGUGCCUUCGGGAGCCAAGUGACAGGUGCUGCAUGGCUGUCGUCAGCUCGUGUCGUGAGAUGUUGGGUUAAGUCCCGUAACGAGCGAAACCCCUUUUCUUUGUUGCCAGCACGUAAUGGUGGGGACUCUAAGAAGACUGCCGGUGUUAAAUCGGAGGAAGGUGGGGACGAUGUCAAGUCAUCAUGGCCCUUACGAGUAGGGCUACACACGUGCUACAAUGGGCAGUACAGAGGGUUGCGAAGUCGCGAGGCCAAGCUAAUCUCAGAAAGCUGCUCUCAGUCCGGAUUGGAGUCUGCAACUCGACUCCAUGAAGUCGGAAUCGCUAGUAA
This 425-nucleotide ribosomal RNA is filed under the name uncultured bacterium. RNAcentral describes it as "bacterial SSU rRNA". It matches the Rfam family "Bacterial small subunit ribosomal RNA", at positions 917 to 1341 of the family's 1533-position model. The record is from RNAcentral.